GACGAAGAACGCAGCGAAAUGCGAUACUUGGUGUGAAUUGCAGAAUCCCGUGAACCAUCGAGUCUUUGAACGCAAGUUGCGCCUCAAGCCAUUAGGUUGAGGGCACGUCUGCCUGGGCGUCACAUAUCGUUGCCUGAUGCCAGUUUCCUCGUGAUGGGUGACUGUGCAGGGCGAAUGAUGGCUUCCCGUGAGCAUUGUUGCCUCAUGGUUGGUUGAAAAUUGAGUCCUUGGUAGGGAGCGCCGUGAUAGAUGGUGGUUGAGUGACGAACGAGACCCAAUCAUGUGAGACCCCUACCGAAUUUGGCCUUCAUGACCCACAUGCGUCUUUGGAACGCUCAUGACGAGACCUCAGGUCAGGCGGGGCUACCCGCUGAGUUUAAGCAUAUCAAUAAGCGGAGGA
This 400-nucleotide unclassified non-coding RNA is filed under the name soil metagenome. RNAcentral describes it as "partial contains 5.8S ribosomal RNA, internal transcribed spacer 2, and large subunit ribosomal RNA". The stretch from base 1 to 122 matches the Rfam family "5.8S ribosomal RNA", at positions 35 to 154 of the family's 154-position model. The record is from RNAcentral.